Molecule: long non-coding RNA, 653 nt
Organism: Carassius auratus (goldfish)
Lineage: Eukaryota; Metazoa; Chordata; Actinopteri; Cypriniformes; Cyprinidae
Exons: 3
Source: RefSeq, a predicted model, not a curated record
UUCAGGGAAGUCAGUGAAGGAGGGAGAAUCUGUCACUUUACAUCCUGGUGUUGUAAGACAACCAAAUGAGGUGAUGAGAUGGUAUUAUAAAGACAUUCGCAUCGCUGAAAUCACUGGAGAUCAGAGUAAGAGUAUCUGUUCAGAUGAUGAGUGUAAAGAGAGAUUCGGAGACAGACUGGAGCUGGAUCAGACUGGAUCUCUGACCAUCACGAACACCAGAAACACAGACUCUGGAGAAUAUAAACUGGAGAUCAGCAGAAAGGGUCGUCUUGGCAACAGUGCUUUCAGUGAGAAGAGCUUUGGUGUUAAAGUUGCUGUUAAUGUUCCAGUUUCAGGUCGGUCUUCAGCUGCUGCAGCAGGAAUAGCUGUUACUGUCAUUCUGCUUUUAGCUGCGUGUGCUGCGGUUGUGAUUUACUAACACAAACAUCAAGCGAAAUGAGAAGGUAAAUGAUGCUCCAGUGAAUCAAGAGUCCUUACUGUAGGAGACUGCGACAUACUGUUGAACACUACUGAUGGGACAUCCUUAAAUCAGACUGAGGCUGAUUAGCAUUACAUCAUUAAUUACACUAACACUGAAGAGGCAGUGUAAAAUCGAGAAAAAGAGAAAAGCAUCAGUCGAAACCAGUGGAGUACACAAAUCAAGUAAAUAAGUA